CGGGACACGUGGUAUCCUGUCUGAAUAUGGGGGGACCAUCCUCCAAGGCUAAAUACUCCUGACUGACCGAUAGUGAACCAGUACCGUGAGGGAAAGGCGAAAAGAACCCCGGCGAGGGGAGUGAAAAAGAACCUGAAACCGUGUACGUACAAGCAGUGGGAGCACGCUUAGGCGUGUGACUGCGUACCUUUUGUAUAAUGGGUCAGCGACUUAUAUUCUGUAGCAAGGUUAACCGAAUAGGGGAGCCGAAGGGAAACCGAGUCUUAACUGGGCGUUAAGUUGCAGGGUAUAGACCCGAAACCCGGUGAUCUAGCCAUGGGCAGGUUGAAGGUUGGGUAACACUAACUGGAGGACCGAACCGACUAAUGUUGAAAAAUUAGCGGAUGACUUGUGGCUGGGGGUGAAAGGCCAAUCAAACCGGGAGAUAGCUGGUUCUCCCCGAAAGCUAUUUAGGUAGCGCCUCGUGAAUUCAUCUCCGGGGGUAGAGCACUGUUUCGGCAAGGGGGUCAUCCCGACUUACCAACCCGAUGCAAACUGCGAAUACCGGAGAAUGUUAUCACGGGAGACACACGGCGGGUGCUAACGUCCGUCGUGAAGAGGGAAACAACCCAGACCGCCAGCUAAGGUCCCAAAGUCAUGGUUAAGUGGGAAACGAUGUGGGAAGGCCCAGACAGCCAGGAUGUUGGCUUAGAAGCAGCCAUCAUUUAAAGAAAGCGUAAUAGCUCACUGGUCGAGUCGGCCUGCGCGGAAGAUGUAACGGGGCUAAACCAUGCACCGAAGCUGCGGCAGCGACGCUUAUGCGUUGUUGGGUAGGGGAGCGUUCUGUAAGCCUGCGAAGGUGUGCUGUGAGGCAUGCUGGAGGUAUCAGAAGUGCGAAUGCUGACAUAAGUAACGAUAAAGCGGGUGAAAAGCCCGCUCGCCGGAAGACCAAGGGUUCCUGUCCAACGUUAAUCGGGGCAGGGUGAGUCGACCCCUA
Molecule: ribosomal RNA, 976 nt
Filed under: Escherichia coli
Lineage: Bacteria; Pseudomonadati; Pseudomonadota; Gammaproteobacteria; Enterobacterales; Enterobacteriaceae
Description: partial 23S ribosomal RNA
Rfam family: Bacterial large subunit ribosomal RNA
Source: RNAcentral